RNAcentral lists this long non-coding RNA (6886 nucleotides) under Sorghum bicolor (sorghum). RNAcentral's name for it is "long non-coding RNA (SBIC_LNC010163)". Lineage: Eukaryota; Viridiplantae; Streptophyta; Magnoliopsida; Poales; Poaceae. The record is from RNAcentral.
AGCAAGCUUGAUUAGAGCUUGAUCAUGACGAAGUACAACCGGAGGAAGAACCGACAGGCCGGCCUCUCCUCUAAUCCUCCUUCGCUCUCCAUCUUGCUACUAUCUAGAUCUACUCCAGUUUAGAGAAGAGAGGAGAGCUCUCAUCUCUAAACCCUAGGUUUUGCUCUGUCUAUGAAUAAUGAAUAAUGAUCAAGGGGUGCCUCCUCUAGGGGCCAGGGGGUCUGGUUAUAUAGUCUUUUCAGAUGAAUCUGGGCCGUCGGAUCAAACCGACAUUGAUCGUGUGGUUUUCCUUGAAGUAUUAGGUCGGUGGAGCAUGAUCCGCGAAGUUGAAGCUGAUUGGUUACUGUAGCUGGGCGGGCACCCAAGGGACUUGGGCGGGCACCCUGCCCCCGGGCCCGAUCGGCCUCCCGUUCGUUCCCGUGGCUUCUGGAGUCUUCUAGAUGGUAGAAAAUUGCGCGGCACAUUAAUAUCUCUAUGUAAACCUGACGUGUGGGCCUUUCUUUCAUAUUUCCUAAUAACCCCCUGUAGAAAUAGACAAACACCAAAACUCGUGGAAUUCUGUCAGAUAAAACCCUAAGUCUAGAUGUUGAUUUCAUUUGGAUCCUUUUCUUUGUUUAUUUGAUAAUUAAAUUUGAUACUUAAGGACCGUCAACAAACUCCCCCAAGCUUAUCUCUUGCUCAUCCCUGAGCAAGGAUAGACUCAGCAAUGGAUGAGAAGUUGUUGCAAUAUCUUAAAAAUUUGACGGUACACAUGCUUUUAAAUAAGAUCUCAUCUCUGAGUUAGAGUAAACUGUCAAGAACUAAAACUUACUUACUUUACCUUUCACCAUGGGACUUGUAACCGUCACUUCUGUCUUGAGUAGUUAAAAGAUAGAACAGUCUAGCCAAGUGCCAUGUCUCUUAUUCUUGAUCAGCUAUAGCUCUUGAGUUUUUGCAGAUUUUCAAAUAAAACUCAGAGAUUCCUUGUAUGACUCUCUAAAUCUCUCUUUUGUGGUAUUUCUGGAUCCUUACCAAGGCAGUGAUGGUAUAUGCCUUCUCUCAAGAUAUGUGGUAUUUGUGGUAUAAGGCAUAGUGACAUUGCCUUCUCUCUCACCCUACUCUAAUAAGGCUUUAAUAUCUAGAGCUCAUAGGUGGGAGAUAAAGUAUACAUACUUACAAGACAUUUAUUGUAUAGUCAAACCAUGGAUCCAAAGAAACAAAUCAAUAAGCCAAAUCAAGAUGUGCAUGUGUGGCAAAUGAAUGGUGUAUGGUGAUGAUGGUGAUAAUAAUGGUGAAAGUCUAAUUCUACUUUUGCUCUUUUGAGGGGAUACAUACCUUCCUUGCUUUUUGAAACUUUAUGAGGAGAAUGAGAUGCUCUAUCUUUCAUUUUUCUUUCCUCUCAGGUGGGUAUCCUGUACCCCUAAUUCUACUGUCGGACACUUGUCCAUUUUUACCUCUCGUCUCACUCUUUUUUUUUCUUUCGAGGUUCCGGGCACUUGCCCCUUUUUAUUUCCUCGUUUAUUUAUUUUUUUUCUUUUCUUCUCUUUUCUUUUUUCAGAGCACUCAUCUCUUGAGAUAAUAUAGCAAGUGGUAGUAGCAAGAUAACUUGAGCAUUUAUUUCAUAAGGGAAAACAGAAAUAUUUUUGGCUAUUCUCUCCCGAAUUAGGAGUAGAAUAUUUUUGGGUGGUUCUGGAGAUGAACAUGGAUGGAUAUAUGUGGAUGGUACUUCCGGAGUAGAAGUAGCAUAUAUGAGUGAACGUGCAAGUGAAUCUUGAUUUAACCACAUGACAAGCUCCUAAGGUUCUACAUAGCUUGACCACACUCAAUGCUCCUAAGCAGUAAAUAAUAAAUAUGUGGCUCAAAGUCUAGCAAGCAUGUAUAUAUAUGGUUGUGGUAGGAAUUUAAACUCUCACCAUACAGGAACUCAUCAUGCAAUAUUUUAAAGAUUUUUCAAAGAUAAAAUUCUCCAGAAUUCUAGCAUCUCUAGGCUCAACCUUUCCAUAUCGUAUCCGUUAACAACUUAGAUUUCAGAUCAAGUUUUCAUCCCACAAGUUUAGAUCUAGAGCAAGCUUUAAAUUAUAACAGUUAUGUCUAAACUUGAGAGAGAACUUCAAAUUUGCAAAUUAGGCAGAGCAACUAUUCAUCAUAUCCAUGCUAGAGUUUUAUUAUUAAGAUUCAGAUUAGCAUAGCCACUUUAUUUAUUUAUUAAACACACUAAGCAAAAGAUAUAUAUAUAAGCACAAAAUCUUUAUUUGGUUUUUCAUAGUUUAUGUAUUUUAAUAUUCUAAUAUAAUAUAAGUAUAAAGAUAGGUAGAAAUACUUAGCGAGAUAAAUGGGGGUGCUCUCCCCCAAGCUGAAUUUUGACGUAAUUUCUCUUGAUGUAGCUAGCAGGUGGCAGAGGUGUAUUUGAAAGUCAGCAGUAUUCUGACAGCGAUUAGAAUGUCCUCCGUCUGCUAGUCUUCUUGAUUCUUAAAUUCUGUGGAGCUCAAAUAGACAACAAAGCUUGUGGAACUAAUUAAGUGUUAGCAUAAAUAUAUAGCCUUCAUCAUGUUGAGCUUCCUCAACAAAUAUUACUCUCUGUUUUUAUAUUUUAAUUUUAUAAAGCAGAAAAGAAAUAUUUAUUUUAUUUUUAUGCCACCACAGUGAAGGUACUUAUGGGUUUUAUGCCACUCGUAUACUCACAUGGGGCUUAGUAUUUUUUAACAUUUUUAUUUUCUAUUCAAGAUAGCAUGAUUAACUAAUAAUCUAUUUAAGGAAAGUAAAUAAUUAAAGGGAAAAGGGAAUGCAGAAAGGAUAAAUAUGGAUAACUACCGAUCUUACCUUUCGGCGAUGGUUCAAUGUUUUAAGUCUUUUUAACAAGACUUCUCACCGUGUCCAUUCUUCAGGUGCGUCAUUUGAUUCAGGAGCGGACCUUGACGUCUGCACCUCUUGAUACGGUGUCACCCAUGUUCUUCGUUUGCCCAGCAGUUCGAAGUGCGGCGUUGGCAGUAACCUGCUCAGUGUGUUUGUGCUCGUAGAUCCAGGUCCUUCACUUGGUAGAGUCUGAGAGUUAUAAAACUCCUCUGUGUUUUUCUCAAAGUGUACCUGCUCAUAGAGACAAGGCAGAGAUCAAGUGCAUGGGUCCUGUUGGUGGAAAACACCAACAGAACCUAAAGUGUAUUUGUUCUUCUCUAACCCUAAGCAUAGUGAGCAAGACAAAGUUGAUGGAUGAAAAGUUCAUGAGUGUAGUACUUAUAACAUUUGUCAGAUCAGAUCGCUCAACCUUAUGGAAAGAUAAUCUAUCUAUGUAUAUGUCUUUUUCUUUAUAUCUCUCAAUGAUUGAAUGUGUAACAUUUUAGCUCAUAUGAUUAGGAGUGUGGGAUCAUGGAGGUAGUACUAAGAACAAGGAUUAAAGGACUAAACAUGUUGAAUCAGUUGGGUUGGUUAAUCUAGAGUUGUAAAUCAUACAUGUUUGUCUCUUUUAUUUAUAUGAACGCCAGAACCAAGGAGAAGCUUAUUUUAGUGAUAGUCAAGUACCUCAAGAUGUUACCUUGCUUGAAGAGUGAUGGUACAGUAUCACCUUGUGGAAGCUAUCCUUUCUUAGCGGUUGUGCAUCGUUUUUGUGGCACCCUCCAUGGAUCAUCUCUCUACGAUGAAUGAGCUAUGUCCUUCUUGUGCAAAUUGUUAAACUUCAUGUGUCACUCUCUUCGUCUCUGAUGUGAGUCUAUCUCAGGACUUCCCAAAUCGAUAUUGAAAGUUUUUUCUGCAGGGGUUAGUCCGACAAAAAUAUACCAAUGUCUACACAAGCAGUUUUUAGUUCAAUAACCGAACUAGACUCCAUGUCUAAUCACAUUAAGGAAGGCUGUUUAACCUAAGCACCAUGCUUAAUUUAAAAGCCCAUAGAAGUAUGUGCAGUACUUCCAAACUAACACUUACUAGACAAAGGUAACAUGACAGCAUUUAUAGAGAUCUACUCAAGUGGAGAUGAAGUAGUGUGAUUAGUAUUUAACAAAUUGAGCAUGUCUUAAAGGUAGGGACAACCAACAUAGCAACAUGGCAAAGGAUAUUUUUAUGUAAAGUACUCCCCCAAGCUUGAAUUUUGCAGAAUUCAAGUUUGGAUGAAUUUAAUUCAAUGUUGCAUGAUGAUUGGUUGGACAUACCUUGUACUUGCUUGUCAUUCAUCUGAUCUUCUUGUUCCAAUCUUGGAAAGGUUAGUGACAAGAAUACCCGAAGGAAUAUUUUUACAAUUAUCCUUAUAUGCUCAAUACACAAGGUAAUGUUGUAAAUAAUUAAAAACACAUGUUACGAUCUGAUCAGUGCUUAUUUUAGGACACCAAGCUUGUCCUUGGGAAACCAUCAAUUUAUGUCGGCGAAGUAGUUUCCCUUCCAACGCUGACCUAAAUCAAGAUCAACUCAACGAGAUCUGCAAUAUUUAUUAUAGACAUAUGCAUCGACAACCGCCCUUUUAAAGUUUUUAUAAAUAGAAAGGAAGAGGGGGUUGGAGAUCUCAAAUGUGGUGAUGUUGGAGAGACCAAUAGAUUGGGAAGAUGUUGCAUGUGAGCAUGGAGUAAACAAAGUGGCUAUGAAAUAAAUUCCAUGCUCAUUAAUGUUAUCUUCGUCUCCAAUUUGAAUGUUCAGAGUUUCGCUUGGAUUGGUCUCACUUAUGUCCUCUUCUAUAUUGGAUGAAUCUCAUCUUCAAAGGGAGUCAAGAACUCAUCAUUUGAAAUUGAGCCAAAGUCAGAAUCCAUUAAGGCUUCUUCCUUAUCCAUCCAUUCUACACAUUCUAGCCAUUUGGAACUUGUGAUCAGGAAAGGGGAGCUGAUAGAAUUUUCAAUAUGGCUUAGCUCUCCUUCACUUGAUAUGUCAUCCUCGACUUCUUCAUAACAGGAACCAGGACAUUCUCUAAGAGAACCAUUAUUGCGAGGAUUUGAAUUAUCCCUGCUUGAAGGUCUCUUAUGGAACCAGAAGUCUAAACCAUCAGCAUCUGAAAGAUUUAAGGUCGGAAUUCCUUCCUCCCUUGGAGAAUUUUGGGGUAUUGAUGGUUUAGGAUCGAUAGCUAAAGUUUGGAAUUGAAGUGGUUGUGAUCUGGCUAUCGAAACUUCUUCUUCUUGUCUAGGAACUGGUUUUGUCUCUUUCUCAGGGAUAUAAAAGCUAGGAGACUUUCCACUUAAUAAAUCAAUCAAAUUCCAAGCUUCACUAGCAGGUAGGUGAUAGAAGGAUCCUCUAGAGGCUGUAUUCAAGGUUUGCUUAUUUUCCCCACUAAGGCCCUCAAAAAAAUGAAUUAGAAGAACUUCUUCUGGAAUAGAAAGCUUUGGGCCAGUGAGAGUAAGGUUAAUAAAGCGGUCCCAUUAUUUCCUAAGAGAUUCUUCUUCCAGUUGUCUAAAAGAAAUAAUCUCACGCCGAAGUUCCGCCACUUUGGAGAUUGGAAAAUAUUUAGAAAGAAAACUACUAUAUAACUCCUUCCAAUCUCCAUGAACACUCCCUAUUUUGAGUUUGUACCAAUAUAUAGCUUUUCCCGUUAAAGAGAACGGAAAGAGCUUCCAUUUGAGGGUCUCAUCGGACAUUCCUUCUAUGCGAAGGAGGUCACAGACUUGAUAAAACUCUCUUAGGUGUGUGUAUGGGUUUUCCUCACCUUCUCCUGAGAAAGGUUGUUUUUGAACAAAUUCUAUGUAUUCGGGGUCUAUCUCAAAACUAGAUGCUAUGAUAGGCUUUGAAGAUUUUGGUGGUUCGAGAUGUGUGCCCGUACGUCUAUGAAAUUCAUAGAUAGACAUGUUUGAAUUCAUGAAAGACCAGAAAUCAAGGAUUAGAUAAGAAGAAAGAUUAGCAGAGAUGAGGCAAAGGAUAAAAGGAAAAUAUAUAUUUUUUUAUUUUUUUAGAAAAUGAUUAAGCUAGUUCGUAGUCAACUCAGCAACCGUUUCCCCGGCAACGGCACCAAAAAUGCUUGUUGACACUUGCUAACACCACUUGAAUACUAGGUUGUCAUCCCUAGCAUGGCACUAGAGUGUACUAUGGUAUUUAUACGCACACAGAUAAUCCGCAAGCGCACGGAUACCGUUGAAGCUUUUACCCGGUUAAAGGUUUUAUCGUAUCCACAGGGAAACGGGAGAACCAACUACGCUCUAACUUAACCAAGAUAGAUAGAUAGGUGAAAAUAGGAAAGAUAGUAGAAUCGAAUAAGAACAAUAUUAAAGGUAAGAUAACAGUGAGUGAUAAUAUGGGAAUAGAGAAUAGAGCAAUUCUAGUAUAUGGGCGAUGGUAGCAGAAUAGAGAGAAUAACUAUGGUUUCUCUACUUCAAAGGGGUAUGUCUAUGUCUGGGAGGAACCACGUGAUAAGAUUACACCACAAAGGAUGCUUAUCCAUAGGCCGAUAAACCCUACCCGUCCUGCUAACGAGAGGUGGACUAUAGAGGACCAACGUAACUAUCACCUACGCGGCCUACCACACGAUCCAGCUAGACAGGGGAUAUCCACAAGUAAUCUAGAUCUAAGCACCUCGCUUACACCUAUACUACAACUCUAACCUAUAGCGUCCUAUAGAUUAGAAGUACUCAAAAGAGUUGUGAACCAGAACAUACAUAAUUAGUAAUUGCAUAAUGAAUUAGAAGUAGAUUACUAGAGUCAUCCCAUGAGCAAGCUUGAUUAGAGCUUGAUCAUGACGAAGUACAACCGGAGGAAGAACCGACAAGCCGGCCUCUCCUCUAAUCCUCCUUCGCUCUCCAUCUUGCUACUAUCUAGAUCUACUCUAGUUUAGAGAAGAGAGGAGUGCUCUCAUCUCUAAACCCUAGGUUUUGCUCUGUCUAUGAAUAAUGAAUAAUGAUCAAGGGGUGCCUCCUCUAGGGGCCAGGGGGUCUGGUUAUAUAGUCUUUUCAGAUGAAUCUGGGCCGUCGGAUCAAACCGACAUUGAUCGUGUGGUUUUCCUUGAAGUAUU